AGGUCAAGGCUCCCAGUAAGGAAUGCGAGAAAUGUGCAGACUUAAAUGAACAGCUGACUUCAGCUUUGAUGGAUAUUGACAGGCUAAAAGCCCUUCAAGAGGACGAGGUUCCCAGUAAGAGCUGUGAGAACUGUGAAGACUUAAGUAAGCAGCUGACUUCAGCUUUGAUGGAUACUGCCAAGCUAAAAGCCCUUCUAGAGAGACAAAAAACUCCACCUCCGACUCCAAAUCGUUCGGAAUCUG
Long non-coding RNA from Macrosteles quadrilineatus (aster leafhopper), 243 nucleotides. RefSeq lists it as uncharacterized. The record is from RefSeq and is a predicted model, not a curated record. NCBI's taxonomy places the organism in Eukaryota, Metazoa, Arthropoda, Insecta, Hemiptera, Cicadellidae. The transcript has 3 exons.